RNAcentral lists this unclassified non-coding RNA (266 nucleotides) under uncultured fungus. RNAcentral's name for it is "sequence contains ITS1". Lineage: Eukaryota; Fungi. The record is from RNAcentral.
CGAACGCGUGUCGCGAGAAGGGCACAGCGACUUGCGCUCAAGCUGAGGCGGCACGAAGAAGAAAAUGCCGUGAACCCGGAAGCCGUAAGAAGCGCCAUCACGCUUUGCAAGAUGCAGGGUCGGGUUCAAGGCUAAGACCAGAAGAUACAACACAGACAAGCCCUUCGAGAAAUCUGCCGAGGCUGCAACUCCAGAGAGGAGUUUGCAGUCAGGAGCAUCGCAGGAGAUAAUGACAGCGGAGAUUUGGAUGGCUGGAGAGGAAGCGU